CGGGAUUACCCGCUGAGU
RNAcentral lists this small nuclear RNA (18 nucleotides) under Arabidopsis thaliana (thale cress). RNAcentral's name for it is "snRNA_16668". The record is from RNAcentral. Lineage: Eukaryota; Viridiplantae; Streptophyta; Magnoliopsida; Brassicales; Brassicaceae.